Molecule: ribosomal RNA, 458 nt
Filed under: uncultured Planctomycetota bacterium
Lineage: Bacteria; Pseudomonadati; Planctomycetota
Description: bacterial SSU rRNA
Rfam family: Bacterial small subunit ribosomal RNA
Source: RNAcentral
UCGAGAAUCUUCCGCAAUGGGCGCAAGCCUGACGGAGCGACGCCGCGUGUGGGAUGAAGGCCUUCGGGUUGUAAACCACUGUCAGUGGGGAGCAAAUGCAUCAGGGUUCUCCCUGGUGUUUGAGCGAUCCGCAGAGGAAGCACAGGCUAAUUCCGUGCCAGCAGCCGCGGUAAUACGGAAUGUGCAAACGUUAUUCGGAAUCACUGGGCUUAAAGAGUCCGUAGGCGGCUUGUUAGGUGAGGUGUGAAAUCCCUCGGCCCAACCGAGGAAUUGCGCUUCAAACCGGCGAGCUUGAGGAGGAUAGAGGUGGGCGGGACUGAUGGUGGAGCGGUGAAAUGCGUUGAUAUCAUCAGGAACACCGGAGGCGAAAGCGGUCCACGUGGGUCCUAUCUGACGCUGAGGGACGAAAGCUAGGGGGAGCGAACGGGAUUAGAUACCCCGGUAGUCCUAGCCUUAAA